RNAcentral lists this transfer RNA (58 nucleotides) under Neotoma lepida (desert woodrat). It matches the Rfam family "tRNA", at positions 8 to 63 of the family's 71-position model. From Rfam's summary of the family: Transfer RNA (tRNA) molecules are approximately 80 nucleotides in length. The record is from Rfam by way of RNAcentral. Lineage: Eukaryota; Metazoa; Chordata; Mammalia; Rodentia; Cricetidae.
UAGCUCAGUUGGUAGAACAUGAGACUCUUAAUCUCAGGGUUGUGGGUUCAUGCCCCAU